RNAcentral lists this ribosomal RNA (1879 nucleotides) under Wolbachia endosymbiont of Drosophila bocki. Its description in RNAcentral is "partial 23S ribosomal RNA". It matches the Rfam family "Bacterial large subunit ribosomal RNA", at positions 400 to 2162 of the family's 2925-position model. The record is from RNAcentral. Lineage: Bacteria; Pseudomonadati; Pseudomonadota; Alphaproteobacteria; Rickettsiales; Anaplasmataceae.
GAGUGUCCCCGAGUAGCAGCGGGCUCGUGGAAUCUGCUGUGAAUCUGCCGGGACCACCCGGUAAGCCUGAAUACUCAUUGUGACCGAUAGCGGAUAGUACCGUGAGGGAAUGGUGAAAAGUACCCCGGGAGGGGAGUGAAAUAGUACCUGAAACCGUGCGCCUACAAUCCGUCAGAGCCUUUCGGGGUGAUGGCGUGCCUUUUGAAGAAUGAGCCUGCGAGUCAGCGGCACGUCGCGAGGUUAACCCGUGUGGGGUAGUCGUAGCGAAAGCGAAUACUAACGAGUGUGUUGUAGUGGCGUGUCCUGGACCCGAAGCGGGGUGAUCUACCCAUGGCCAGUGUGAAGCGACGGUAAGACGUCGUGGAGGCGCGAACCCACUUAGGUUGAAAACUGAGGGGAUGAGUUGUGGGUAGGGGUGAAAGGCCAAUCAAACUCCGUGAUAGCUGGUUCUCCCCGAAAUGCAUUUAGGUGCAGCGUCGUGUGUUUCUUGCCGGAGGUAGAGCUACUGGUUGGUUUAGCGGGACUAUCAUCUUAGCGACAUCAGCCAAACUCCGAAUGCCGGUAAGUGAGAGCGCGGCAGUGAGACUGCGGGGGAUAAGCUUCGUGGUCGAGAGGGAAACAGCCCAGAUCGCCGGCUAAGGCCCCUAAGGGUGUGCUAAGUGGAAAAGGAUGUGCGGUCGCGAAGACAGCCAGGAGGUUGGCUUAGAAGCAGCCAUCCUUGAGAGAGUGCGUAAUAGCUCACUGGUCGAGUGGCCGUGCGCCGACAAUGUAGUGGGGCUUAAGUACACCGCCGAAGCCGCGGAACUGCACACUGUUGUGUGUGGUUGGUAGGGGAGCGUCGUGUGGCCGGUGAAGGUGCGGGGUGACCCAGUGCUGGAGGCUAUGCGAGUGAGAAUGCAGGCAUGAGUAGCGAUUGAUGAGUGAGAAACUCAUCCGCCGAAUGACUAAGGGUUCCUGGGUCAAGUUUGUCUUCCCAGGGUGAGUCGGGGCCUAAGGCGAGGCCGACAGGCGUAGUCGAUGGUUAACGGGUUGAUAUUCCCGUACCCGAGCAUGUGCGAAAGGAGAUGAGGCGGUGAGACUAACCACCCUGAAGGACUGUCGGUGCAUCUUUGGUGUGCUGGUGGUGUGGAUGCGUGGGACCUGAUCCGUAGUAGUCUAGUGAUGGGGUGACGCAGUGAGGUAGCCGAGCCACUUAUUGGAUUGUGGUGUAAGCGUGUGGCCCGUGUCCCAGGUAAAUCCGGGGCGCAUACAGGGUGAGGCGUGAUGCGUACCCUUUUGUGGGGAUGUCGGUGAUCCUGUGCUGUCGAGAAAAGCCUCUAGCGAGUGCGUGUUCGGCCCGUACCCUAAACCGACACAGGUGGUCUGGUAGAGUAUACCGAGGCGUUCGGGUGAACUGUGGUUAAGGAAUUCGGCAAAAUGCCCCCGUAACUUCGGGAGAAGGGGGGCCCGUGCUGGUCGCAGCCUUUUGCGGGUUGUUGGCUGGUGUGGGUCGCAGAGAAUAGAGGGAAGCGACUGUUUACUAAAAACACAGGUCCGUGCGAAGACGGUAAGUCGAUGUAUACGGACUGACGCCUGCCCGGUGCUGGAAGGUUAAGAGGACCUGUUAGGGCUUUUGUCCGAAGCGGAGAAUUUAAGCCCCAGUAAACGGCGGUGGUAACUAUAACCAUCCUAAGGUAGCGAAAUUCCUUGUCGGGUAAGUUCCGACCUGCACGAAUGGCGUAACGACNNNNCUGCUGUCUCAACCACAGGCCCGGCGAAAUUGCAGUACGAGUAAAGAUGCUCGUUACGCGCGGCAGGACGAAAAGACCCCGGGACCUUCACUAUAGCUUGGUAUUGGUGUUCGGUUCGGUUUGUGUAGGAUAGGUGGGAGACUGUGAAG